GAAAGAUGGCAGAGCGGUCGAAUGCGGCGGUCUUGAAAACCGUUGACGGGGUAACUCGUCCGGGGGUUCGAAUCCCUCUCUUUCC
This 85-nucleotide transfer RNA is filed under the name bovine gut metagenome. It matches the Rfam family "tRNA". Rfam says of the family: Transfer RNA (tRNA) molecules are approximately 80 nucleotides in length. Their secondary structure includes four short double-helical elements and three loops (D, anti-codon, and T loops). The record is from RNAcentral.